RNAcentral lists this ribosomal RNA (405 nucleotides) under uncultured bacterium. RNAcentral describes it as "partial 16S ribosomal RNA". It matches the Rfam family "Bacterial small subunit ribosomal RNA", at positions 30 to 526 of the family's 1533-position model. The record is from RNAcentral.
AUUGAACGCUAGCGGGAUGCUUUACACAUGCAAGUCGAACGAGUGGCGGACGGGUGAGUAAUAUCUCGGAACGUGCCUAGUGGCGGGGGAUAACUACUCGAAACAGUGGCUAAUACCGCAUACACUCAGAGCGGCCCAUAUCGGAUUAGCUAGUUGGUGGGGUAAAGGCUCACCAAGGCAACGAUCCGUAGCUGGUUUGAGAGGACGACCAGCCACACUGGGACUGAGACACGGCCCAGACUCCUACGGGAGGCAGCAGUGGGGAAUUUUGGACAAUGGGGGAAACCCUGAUCCAGCCAUGCCGCGUGUAUGAGAAGGCCUUCGGGUUGUAAAGUACUUUUGGCAGAGAAGCGGUAUCUGCAGAAUAAGCACCGGCUAACUACGUGCCAGCCGCCGCGGUAAUUC